CAGCAGCCGCGGGAAUACGAAGGGUGCAAGCGUUAAUCGGAAUUACUGGGCGUAAAGCGUGCGUAGGCGGUUUGUUAAGUCUGUUGUGAAAUCCCCGGGCUCAACCUGGGAAUGGCAAAGGAUACUGGCAAGCUAGAGUGUGUCAGAGGAUGGUGGAAUUCCCGGUGUAGCGGUGAAAUGCGUAGAGAUCGGGAGGAACAUCAGUGGCGAAGGCGGCCAUCUGGGACAACACUGACGCUGAGGCACGAAAGCGUGGGGAGCAACAGGAUUAGAUACCCCUGUAGUCCCUGUCUCUUAUACA
This 301-nucleotide ribosomal RNA is filed under the name uncultured bacterium. RNAcentral's name for it is "partial 16S ribosomal RNA". It matches the Rfam family "Bacterial small subunit ribosomal RNA", at positions 509 to 808 of the family's 1533-position model. The record is from RNAcentral.